RNAcentral lists this long non-coding RNA (1231 nucleotides) under Drosophila guanche. The record is from RNAcentral. Lineage: Eukaryota; Metazoa; Arthropoda; Insecta; Diptera; Drosophilidae.
CGGCACCCAAAAGCGGAUGACGACUGGACAAUGCCACCAAGAGUGUUUGCUGUAUCAGUAACUGGAGUUUAAAUAAUUAAUUAAUAAUGAAUAAUAUGUAUAUUUUUUAUUUAGAUUUCUGGCUGUGGAUAAGCAUAAGAGUUGGCUACACAUCACUCGAACGACAGACAUUCUCACGCAUUCUCGUUUGCACUUUUCGUGGAUAAGCAUAAGAGUUGGCUACACAUCACUCGAACGACAGACAUUCUCACGCAUUCUCGUUUGCACUUUUCGCUUGUGCAACUUGCUGGCUGAGUUAGUACUUACUUGUGUUCCUGUGAUUUCUAUUCAUAUAUUUAAUUAUGUUUCAGCUGGAAUUUGGCAGUUUCUUCCAUUUACGGGCACUACAUUUUCGAAGAUAGCCAGAAAUUUCGCAUUGGGCGAGUCCCAGCAGCAGCUGAUUCAUGCCGGAGCCCAGAGCCAAAAUCCGUACACCAAUCAAAACGAAUCGCCCACAUAUUGAACGCUGAGUACGGCAGUUGUGGCAGCCCCGCACAACAACAACAACAACAACAACAAGUAGGCGUCCUUCGACCAUGCCAAAUUCCAAAAUUCUUGCGCCGUUCGUUGUCGAUCGUCGGUCGUCGACAUCGACGUCAUUUCGCCCGCCAUUCAGCCUCAGCCUUAGCCCCUAUCGCUGUCUCUGUCGCUGUCUCUGCCUCCUCUCCGGGCUAUACGUAAAUAUUUACACAUGUCUUACAAGAGCUGGCAAUAUUUCGCUGUCGGAUAUAGCAUCGUGGGUGGAGUGGAUAUUUGUAUGUAUUAGUAUGGAUAUGUGUGCACGGAUUACGAUUUAAAUGGAUUUGUGUGCGUUGGAAUUUCAUUGGCAUUUCCCAUUUCCCAUUUUCCAUUUUGCAAUUUUAUUUGUAGCCCCAUAGCUCAUUGCAUUCAUUGCUCCCGCAUACAAAACCGAAACCAAUCGGACAGUUCAAUGAAGUGGCCGAAUGGAGGGCGAAGUUCAGGCGAUACGCAGUAUGCGUAUCUGAAUCCUUUUGAUUGGGAUUGCAAGCAGCGAGCCAGUUGCCAGCUGCCAGUUGCCAGCUGCCAGCUGCCUUCGAAUCUUCAGUUUGGAAGAACAAUAAAACAAAAAAUAAUAACAAUUUGGCAGCAGCGUACAAUUUGCGUCAACAGCACUUGCCUCUGAGGUUGCUCCUCAGUAUAUAGUAGAAUAUAAAUAUCUAUACAUUUAUCC